This 256-nucleotide ribosomal RNA is filed under the name uncultured archaeon. Its description in RNAcentral is "partial 16S ribosomal RNA". It matches the Rfam family "Bacterial small subunit ribosomal RNA", at positions 521 to 776 of the family's 1533-position model. The record is from RNAcentral.
UAAUACGGGGGGGGCAAGCGUUGUUCGGAAUUACUGGGCGUAAAGGGCGCGUAGGCGGCCUGCUAAGUCACACGUGAAAUCCCUCGGCUCAACCGGGGAACUGCGUGUGAUACUGGCGGGCUCGAAUUCGGGAGAGGGAUGUGGAAUUCCAGGUGUAGCGGUGAAAUGCGUAGAUAUCUGGAGGAACACCGGUGGCGAAGGCGGCAUCCUGGACCGAGAUUGACGCUGAGGCGCGAAAGCUAGGGUAGCAAACGGG